UCCAUAUAUACUGUGGAGGCCAAGUGACUUCCUAAAAGAAAGAUGAAAUUGUAGCCACUAACAUAAUCUAGGGUUCAUGGCUUUAAAUGAGAACAAAAUAAUAAUAAGGAACAGUUAUUGAUCUCUUACUGUAUGCCUGGCUCUUGGUUAAAUUAUGUGCAUUAUCUGAUUUAAUCUUCAUGUGAGAAUCACAAAGAUCCUUAUAAGAGGGACACAGGAAUCAUCAGAGCCAGAAGAGGAGGGAGUGUGAUAACAGAAGCAGAGAAUGGAGUGACACACUUAAAGCUCAUGCCAUUUGGAUCCCAAAGCCUUGGGCUGCAGAAGUAGGCCUUAACUUUUUGAACCUGAUGUUGAUCUGGCUUUGGAAAUGCAGCUGCCUCCUGAUGAAGCUGCCGCACUCUCCAUCAGGUGAAUUAGCUUGCUUUUCCUCUCCUCCUCUCUCCCUUGGCCUGUAG
Molecule: long non-coding RNA, 455 nt
Filed under: Heterocephalus glaber (naked mole-rat)
Lineage: Eukaryota; Metazoa; Chordata; Mammalia; Rodentia; Bathyergidae
Description: lncRNA (ENSHGLG00100041132.1)
Source: RNAcentral